Molecule: transfer RNA, 63 nt
Filed under: Enterococcus faecalis
Lineage: Bacteria; Bacillati; Bacillota; Bacilli; Lactobacillales; Enterococcaceae
Description: tRNA-Ile
Rfam family: tRNA
About the family: Transfer RNA (tRNA) molecules are approximately 80 nucleotides in length. Their secondary structure includes four short double-helical elements and three loops (D, anti-codon, and T loops).
Source: RNAcentral
AGCUCAGCUGGUUAGAGCAAAAGGCUCAUGACCAUUCGGUCGAUGGUUCGAAUUCAUCAUGGU